Molecule: ribosomal RNA, 253 nt
Filed under: uncultured bacterium
Lineage: Bacteria
Description: partial 16S ribosomal RNA
Rfam family: Bacterial small subunit ribosomal RNA
Source: RNAcentral
GACAGAGGGGGCAAGCGUUGUCCGGAUUUACUGGGCGUACAGCGCGCGCAGGCGGUGGUGUAGGUACCUGGUGACAGUCUCGGGCUCAACUCGAGGGGGUCUAGAUAGACCGCACCGCUGGAGGCAGGGAGAAGGAUGUGGAAUACCCGGUGGAGCGGUGAAAUGCGUAGAGAUCGGAUGGAACACCAGUGGCGAAAGCGGCAUCCUGGCCCUGACCUGACGCUGAGACGCGAGAGCGUGGGGAGCAAACGGG